Molecule: long non-coding RNA, 5452 nt
Filed under: Hordeum vulgare
Lineage: Eukaryota; Viridiplantae; Streptophyta; Magnoliopsida; Poales; Poaceae
Description: long non-coding RNA (HVUL_LNC002169)
Source: RNAcentral
UUCUGCAUCACUCCAUCCAGCAGGCCGUGACGAUUUCUGGAGCCACGAUCGACCACGCCGUGAUACCAUGUAAUCUUCCCUUGGGCAGGAGCCACGACGUGCUAAUCCCCGACGUUUUUCUUCUCCUAAUUCGUCUCCCAACCCUGCAGAUCCCGCUCUCCGCCCCGGCGGCGGCGCAGCAGUUGCUCGAGGAUCAUUCGUCGUGCCCUUUUGUUACUCCAUGAAAGGUUCGUUGUUUCUGCCUCUCUUUUAUAUGGUGAUUCUUGGAGAUUUUCCUUCCUCUCUGUUUCUCAUGAACAGGCUACUCCCUAUUUCAUAGUCACGCUCACGCCCUAUUUCAUAGUCACGCUCACGCAUAAACUCGGCUAGCUUGUUCAUGGAUCCGUGGCUGUAUUCUUGUCCGAUUGUAGAUUUGACAUGCUAGUUUGUUUGAUUUUAAUCUGGCGCUAUGGUGUUUAUUCGUUAUAUCGCUACAUGUUUGUCCGCCGCGAUUCAAGCCACCAGACUUUGGUGUGCACCAAUACAUGUUUUAGAAAAUCGGAUAGAAUUUGUUGACUUCCGAUACAACAUGAACCUGUAAUUUGAUGAAAGUUUAAUCCCGUAUUUAACCAGAUAAAUAAAGGCUAAUAAAAGCAAUUCUAGCUGUGAAUAGUUCCUUUUUUUUGUGUGUGUUAUUCAUCCCGCUCAUUUUCGCUGUCAACACUACAAUUAUAAUUUGGAUAGGAGUAUUAGUUUUGGUGCAAUGAUAAAUACACAUUGUAUUUGUGAGCUGUUUCAGAAACAUGUGUUUUUUAGAAGAGAAACAUGUUUUUGUUCAAAACGAGGAUGCGCACAAUACAGUCAUACUCUUUCCUGGGACGAUAAAGCCUUUGAUGUAAAUUCGUACCCGGGUUCAUGUUGUGUACACAAAUAGUUAUAAUAUGAUCUGUUGUUUUUCGAGACAAAGACAUCAGGUUUUUUUAGGGGGAAACGCUAGGCAUCGGUCGGCUGAUCGGUAAUGUCCGGCACCAAUGUGUCUUCCUCGCCCGCACCUCCUGCUCUGUGUCGUCCUCUCUCAACACACCCGCAUGACUGCUUCUCCCGCUCGCAACAUCUGCGCACCUCUGCCAGCUUGGCUCACAGCGAUGCCGUCCCUUGCAGCAUCACCAACCAUCAUCUCGCAGCGGCACUUGUCAUGCUCUAGAAGCUUAGGAUCAACACAUCCCUCUUGCAUCACCGUGUUUCUCUGUUGCACAAUCGGUGGCAUCUCCGUGCCCGCCCUGCGGUAGUGGUGCCUGGCCCUUGCAGUGUGCAUUGUCGUCAUCGCAGCAUCGGUCGACGACAUGGUUCAUUUGCAGCACGACCUGGCCAUGAAAAGCCGGGCCCGACGGCCCAACCCGAAAAUCCUGCGCCGGACCGGAACUAAUUGUUCCAUCGGACUGGGCUCGGGUCUGAAAUUGUGCCCGACGGUCGGGCCGGGCUCACGAAAACAUGAUUUUAGCCGCAAUCGGGCUGUGUUGAGCAUUUUUGGGUUUGGGCCCGAUUUAUUAGGCCCGACGAUCAGACCAGGCUAGACUCGGGCCUGAGUUUUUAGCAUCGGGCUUUUUUCGGCCCGGCCCAGCACAACAAAUUCCCAGGUAUACUUGCAGCACUGGCAACUCUGGGUCGCAGCAUUUUUUUUCUUUUCAAAACUGGGUCGCAGCAUCUUGCAUCAUCGCUUGUAGCAUCGGUAGCCGGCGUGGUCUGCUUGCAGCACCAAUGCGUAUGCACCGCUAAUAGUAUUCUUACUGACGCUUCCCAUGUGGAUUAGAGCGGCAUGGCAAUUGCCUGAGAAAUCAGGGCCGCUCGUUGGUGGCUCGGUUGCUAGUUUGUUCGGGUAAACAAAGCUGUGUCGCUCCAGGUCACAGGUCACGUAGGAAUCUCCAAACAAGAUACAUUUGCACCGUGGCACCUAAUCACGAACCAGAUCUGACAUGCAUGCGGGCAACAUUUGUAAGGACCGUGCAGGUGUGUACAAAUUGGAAAACUGAGUUACACCAUGUAAACUGAUGAACUUCUUUCCACGUCAAUGAAAAGGUACGUAAGCUUUAUGUGUGUGCGAAAAAAAGAAUGUCAAACCGGAUACAAUAUGAUCAAUUAUCUAAGACGGCCGGGCAAUUUCUUUCAUCCCAGACACUAGGGAGUUGGAAUUUACUCUGUUUAUUAAUGUAUAUGUAGUGGGUUUGUAGGUAUGAAUGAAAUCAUUGGCGUGGCCACAACGAGUUCAUAUGACCUCAACCAAUAAGCGUUGUGUGCAUUUUAUCUUCUUCGACGAGUUAACCUUAUUAACCCAAGAAUGUAUUAUGUGUACCUUGUCAUGUUUUCUUUUCGUCUUUCCUCCACCUCCUUAACUUUCAAAGGUUGGUCCACUAUGCUGUCAUGGCAUUCUUCUCAAAUUAGGAACGUGUGCAACUAGCGAUUAAGCGAAACCGAUUAGUAGAAUUCCAGUUCAUCUGGGUCCGUUCUUGCUCUUUGUCCUCAAUUUUUGUCCCUUUGAAGGUAAAUAAAGGAUGGAGGGUAGCUUCCCUUCCACUUGUUGGCAUGUUGAGCUAUUGUGAAGCGGUAAAGCUCCUCAUCAGCGUGUCGGUAACCGGAUAUUUGUGAUGGAUAUAUAAAGAUGAUAACUUUUGCCGAUUAGCCCGUUUUUUCAUGGAGAAGUAAAGAAAAAAGGUACGCAUGCUACAAUCACACCUGGUCAUUUGGUAGUUCGAUUAUUUGUGUUCCUUUUAGUCAUAGAAGUGAAGUGACCCCAACUCUGUCGAGAUCUAGUGAAGUGACCCCAACUCUGUCGAGAUCUAGUGAAGUGACCCCAACUCUGUCGAGAUCUGCUCUCACGGUUUCACCUAGACAUGCAUUUGAAAGUGUUCAACUCUAAAUAUCGUGCUAUAUGGCGAGCGCAGAGAUGAUAUGAUCCAUGGAGCUAUCUUUUUCGUUUGCUUUCCAUUUCAUACCCAGUCUUCUUUUUUACUAUGGAAAUUACAUUUUGAUCGUUUAAUUUAUGCUACUCUUAAAAUUGUCAUUUCACUUUUUUCCACUUGACAAUGCACCACAAUAGCCGCUUUGUAUACCUAUGCGAGUUAGUAACACAUUAAGAAGAAUCGAUUUCAUCAUUAACUAGGAGUGGAAUAUUAGUCACACUGCAAGUUACAUUCAUAGAACACCUAGAUUAGGUUGGUCGUAAUGAAAGUAUCAUAAACAGUAUCAUGCAUGCCAAUUAGGCUUAUUUGAUGAUGUGACACAUCAUUAAAUAAAGAAAGAGAGGAUGUGGUAACAUAUUAUGAUACCGUAUCAUAUUAAGUACUAAUUUGUGUCAUGCAUGACAAUUAAUAAAACAACCUAGAUACUAACUUAUGAUAAUAUGCAUUAUUUAAAUAAUGUCAUAUACACUAGUAUCAUAUGCAUGAUACUAGUAUAUGAUAGUUAAACUCGUUACCACAUGAUGACACGCACCACCUGGUUGCAGCUACGACCGCCUCCACGGCCAUGGCCACCACCAGCAUAGACUGCGGCAAUGUGGAAAUGCACCUCACUUGCCGUACUGCUAGCUACCCUACUCUUAUCCUAAGCCGAAUUAGGACCUAGCACAGCUUCCACGCCUCACUUGCUGUGACAGGUCCUGGCCAAGCUACCACUGGAUGGUCCAGGUCGCGAACCAAACACGGUCAGGAGCUGUCACACCAAGCACAAGCGGACCAAAUAACACCUAGCUCAAAAAAGGUCAACCAGAAACAGAUGACACCCAAACACUACCAGCAGGAUUUGAGCCAUCUCAAACAAGCAGUUUUGACAGGAACAGAUGACUAUUGCAAAAUUUCUCAUCGCAACAUUCGCUGUAUCACCACAUUGGUCCACUGGUUCAACAGCAAUAGAUGAUGGCACAAGUCUUAGAUUCAGCGAUCAUAACAUGAUAGCAGGAAUUCGAUUAAACCCAUAAGUUCCUUAGCCAAAAUUUCAUCUCCAUUUGUAAACCACCCCUCUGUCCACUAUGUCCAUGUCCGUAUUCCAGUAGGCCUGCAAAAAUUUAUAAGGAAAAGUUACAUGUUAGUGGUUCAGAUUUCACAGAGAGACCAACAAGAUACAUCAAAUGAAAGGAAGAAACCCUUAAACUGAUUACAACGAUGCAUGCUAGUGGUUCAGAUUUCACCGAGAGGCCAACAGAAAUUCACAUGUUAGUUAAUUAUUAAAGUUGUUUUUGUCUCUGAGACUGAUUUCAUAUUUUCAGAUGUGUUGUAUUUAUAUGCUCAUUUUUUAGAUGUAAUGGCAACUUAACCUGAUCUUAGAGGUUACCCAACUAAACCUUUCAGAUAUAAUGUAUUUACAGGCACACCGACCAACGGUCCGGAUUUGAUCUCAUUUGCAUGUGCAGCCUUUACAGUUGUUCAAACAUUUACUAUUGUAUUGAUUUCGAUGGGGUUUGGAUAUGGACCAAAGAAUUUAAUCAAAGUCAGCUGCCAUACAAAUAAACACCAGCGAGGCAAACAUUAAUAACCCCGCCAUAGAUAUUAGAGGAACAGCUCACAGGUCGAUGUCUAAGACACGAGUGAAAUAUGACACCAUAUACAUACUUAGUACUACUCCAUGAACAUGACCAAUCACAGUAGUAGUUUGAGCAUGACAGGAGCUGUGACCGGUUGUUCUUCUGGCAGGGUUGAAUUACAGCAGCAAGGUUAGCGAAGCAAAUGGUGAUAGGAAGCUUGAUGCCACACGCUUUAUUCAUGAUGCAUUUGCUAGUCUAGGAAAAGAAACAUAGAAGAUAUUGCUGAUUGAGGGAGGCUCCAGGCCAGGAGCGUCACGCCCAGCACACACAAACCAAAUGAGCCCAGCUACCCAAUUACGCUGCAUCUGAUUACACCCUAGCUCAAAAGCAGGAUUUGACUACAUACCAUCUCAAACAAGACAGCAAUAGAUGAUGGCAUAAUUCACUAUUGCAAUCUAUCACCACCAUAUACUCAGCCACCGCCAGCCACCUAGUGAACAUCCAAUAUCCUACUUCGUGUCACUAUUGUACAUUCCAGAUCUCAAAACUGUAUGCUGCUGUCAUGACAAACAAGAAUGCAAAUCUGAUCUCAUGAUCAAAUAUAGCCCAUAACUGAAACUUCACCAAAAAUCCAUACCCAAGCUUGAGAAAAUUGUGAAAACAUUUAUUCAUACUCCCUCUGUUCCUGAAUAUAAGGUGUAUUAUUUAUGUAUAUUGUAUAAAACAAUUGUAGAGCCUGUGCUCAAGAAAAGGUAACAAAUUAAGUUGUACAUGGAGGGCAGGUUUUGCACUCCACCAGAACAGCUUACAGCAAGACAUGUCCCAUCCUCAAUGAGAACAGCAGAACACUGUACACAGAACACCAGCAUGCUGCCUGACACAAAAUCCUGCAGUUUCAAGUGAAAGGAAGCAGAGAUGCACGGCGAUACAUCAUCUCUUGUCAAGACUUUAUACACC